AAUCAACGCUGGCGGCGUGCCUCAGACAUGCAAGUCGAACGCGAAAGUCCCCUUCGGGGACGAAGUAGAGUGGCGCACGGGUGAGUAACACGUAGGUAAUCUACCUUCGGAGUGGGGAAGUAACAACCGGAAACGGUUGCUAAUACCGCAUAAUGCAGCGGCACCUAAUGGUGACAGUUGUUAAAGACGGGGGAGUCGAAAGACCCCGCCGUCUGAAGAGGAGCCUGCGGCGGAUUAG
This 238-nucleotide ribosomal RNA is filed under the name uncultured bacterium. RNAcentral describes it as "partial 16S ribosomal RNA". It matches the Rfam family "Bacterial small subunit ribosomal RNA", at positions 32 to 244 of the family's 1533-position model. The record is from RNAcentral.